AGUCGAACGGUAGCCAGAGAGCUUGCUCUCGGGUGACGAGUGGUGGACGGGUGAGUAAUGUCUGGGAAACUGCCUGAUGUAGGGGGAUAACUACUGGGAACGGUAGCUAAUACCGCAUAUCGUCGCAAGACCAAGGAGGGGGACCUUCAGGCCUCUUGCCAUCAGAUGUGCCCAGAUGGGAUUAUCUAGAACGUGGGGUAACGGCUCACCUAGGCGACGAUCCCUCUCUGGUCUGAGAAGAUGACCAGCCACUCUGAAACUGAGACACGGUCCACACUCCUACGGGAGGCACCAGUGGGGAAUAUUGCACAAUGGGCGCACGCCUGAUGCAGACAUGCCGCGUGUAUGAAAAAAGCCUUCUGGUUGUAAAGAACAUUCUCCGCGGAGGAAAGUGUUGUGAUUAAUAACCCCAUCAAAUGACUUACCCCGCAAAAAAACCCCCCCUAUAACUCCGUGCCACCACCCCCGUAAAUACGGAGGGUGCACGCGUUUUUCUAAAUUAUUGUGGCGUAAAGCGCACGCAGGCGGUCUGUCAAGUCGGAUAUGAUAUCCCCGGGGCUCACCCUGGGGAACUGCUUUUAAAACUGGUAG
This 591-nucleotide ribosomal RNA is filed under the name uncultured bacterium. RNAcentral describes it as "partial 16S ribosomal RNA". It matches the Rfam family "Bacterial small subunit ribosomal RNA", at positions 60 to 639 of the family's 1533-position model. The record is from RNAcentral.